RNAcentral lists this ribosomal RNA (306 nucleotides) under uncultured bacterium. RNAcentral describes it as "partial 16S ribosomal RNA". It matches the Rfam family "Bacterial small subunit ribosomal RNA", at positions 505 to 808 of the family's 1533-position model. The record is from RNAcentral.
GACAGCAGUAGCCACGGUAAUACGUAGGUCCCGAGCGUUGUCCGGAUUUAUUGGGCGUAAAGCGAGCGCAGGCGGUUAGAUAAGUCUGAAGUUAAAGGCUGUGGCUUAACCAUAGUACGCUUUGGAAACUGUUUAACUUGAGUGCAAGAGGGGAGAGUGGAAUUCCAUAUGUAGCGGUGAAAUGCGUAGAUAUAUGGAGGAACACCGGUGGCGAAAGCGGCUCUCUGGCUUGUAACUGACGCUGAGGCUCGAAAGCGUGGGGAGCAAACAGGAUUAGAUACCCCUGUAGUCCCUGUCUCUUAUACC